Molecule: ribosomal RNA, 239 nt
Filed under: uncultured bacterium
Lineage: Bacteria
Description: partial 16S ribosomal RNA
Rfam family: Bacterial small subunit ribosomal RNA
Source: RNAcentral
UGAGGAACAUGACCUUCGGCGGGGGAUAGCCGGCCCAACGGCCGGGUAAUACCGCGUACGACCUGUUGGGGACAUCCCCGAUUGGUGAAAGCAGCAAUGCGCCGAAAGAGUGCCUCGCGGCCUAUCAGCUAGUUGGUGGGGUAAUGGCUCACCAAGGCGACGACGGGUAGCUGGUCUGAGAGGAUGGCCAGCCACAUUGGGACUGAGACACGGCCCAGACCUCCGUACGGGAGGNAGCG